GUGGGGAAUAUUGGACAAUGGGCGAAAGCCUGAUCCAGCCAUGCCGCGUGUGUGAAGAAGGUCUUCGGAUUGUAAAGCACUUUAAGUUGGGAGGAAGGGCAGUAAGUUAAUACCUUGCUGUUUUGACGUUACCGACAGAAUAAGCACCGGCUAACUUCGUGCCAGCAGCCGCGGUAAUACGAAGGGUGCAAGCGUUAAUCGGAAUUACUGGGCGUAAAGCGCGCGUAGGUGGUUUUGUAAGUUGGAGGUGAAAUCCCCGGGCUCAACCUGGGAACUUCCUCCAAAACUGCAUGACUAGAGUACGGUAGAGGGUAGUGGAAUUUCCUGUGUAGCGGUGAAAUGCGUAGAUAUAGGAAGGAACACCAGUGGCGAAGGCGACUACCUGGACUGAUACUGACACUGAGGUGCGAAAGCGUGGGGAGCAAACAGGAUUAGAUACCCGAGUAGUCC
Molecule: ribosomal RNA, 450 nt
Filed under: uncultured bacterium
Lineage: Bacteria
Description: bacterial SSU rRNA
Rfam family: Bacterial small subunit ribosomal RNA
Source: RNAcentral